RNAcentral lists this transfer RNA (64 nucleotides) under Margarites vorticiferus. Its description in RNAcentral is "tRNA-Met". Lineage: Eukaryota; Metazoa; Mollusca; Gastropoda; Trochida; Margaritidae. The record is from RNAcentral.
GUAGGAAAUAGCUAAGUAAGCGAUAGCUCUAUAAGCUAAUUAUUAAUGUAGAUUAUUUUUUGUA